Molecule: long non-coding RNA, 1153 nt
Filed under: Apteryx owenii (little spotted kiwi)
Lineage: Eukaryota; Metazoa; Chordata; Aves; Apterygiformes; Apterygidae
Description: lncRNA (ENSAOWG00000001535.1)
Source: RNAcentral
GGCAAGCGCAGGCGCUGGCUCCGGCUCCCCCGUAGCUUGCAACAGCGGGCGGUUUUAGGGAAGUGAGGAAACGGGACAGUGUGAGCGCAGGCCUGGCUUCGUUUCUGUAAAAAUGCCCCCGGGAACUUGGCUGUUUGUAUCGGUGAGCUUUCUUGGCAGCAGUCUCGCGCUAACGUGUCUUGCUUCAUUUGAUGGGUAACAAACAAUCGAGGAUCCCUGCGUUUUUUGAUUGUCAGGGUUUUUUUAAGUAUUUGCCUAUCUGUGGCAAGAGGGGGGCUAGGCGAACGGAGGACCAAACUCGGUCGCGCUGCAAACAGCAGGACACGACUCCCCCGAUCUCGCUCACUGGGCCAUUGCAUGUUUUCCCCUGUGAUUUCAAACCUUCGUCCUGUCUCGGUCGGACCAGGUAACACUUUGGUUACUAGAUUACUCUUUAGUGGUACCUAGCACAUGCAAGGCAAUACAGAAAGCAUCAGUCAGAUGUAGUGAAGCUGCCAGGAUACAUCCGAGCCUUCUGCACAUAGAGAAGAGAUGAGUACGUCCAAAUGAGGCAUUAUAUACUUCUGUCUGUGAGGAAGCUAGAGCAGAGAGGCAGAAAUCACAGCAGCAGACAAGGGAUCCUUGGCUAGGGCUCCAUAGUGCCACAGUAAAGAAAUAGCUGUAUUAAGAAUCAUGCAUAAAUUUAAUACUUUGUGGACUCUCCUCGCCAACUGUCUGAGUUUCACAGCUAUCCUUUUUCUCCUGCUGAAUGGAUGAACUGUUUGUAUGUUCCUUUUGUUAUCUGUAAAAUGAAAAAAAAAAUCUGUAAAAAUCAUUUAUCCUUACAUAGCUUUGUAAAACCGAUACCCUUAGCUGGAGACUUCUCCAUGGCUGAAAAAUACUAUUUUUGUAACAAUCUGUAAGGUAGUCAGAGCAUUGAUGUCCAGGUUAUUUUGAUUGGGAAUCCAAGGAACUUAUCAGGGGAGCUUAUUGCAAAUCUUAAUGAAAUGACUUUCUUCAGUGUAGUUUCCAAAUCUUCAUGGUUUAUGGGAAGCUUAGGCCCAUAGUCAUAUGUAUUAAUGCCCGCAUUGUAACAUAAAAUAAUGCAGAAAAGCUUUUUUCCACUUGGUGGUGCCAGUUGCACGGGAAAACAAAUUCCAGCAGUGGAUCUGCG